UAAUACGUAGGGGGCGAGCGUUGUCCGAAGUUACUGGGCGUAAAGAGCGCGUAGGCUGGUCUUUAAGUGAGUGGUGAAAGGUUCGGGCUCAACCCGGACACUGCCUUUCAUACUGGGGACCUUGAGUGUGGGAGAGGCGAGUGGAAUGGUCGGUGUAGCGGUGAAAUGCGUAGAUAUCGAUCGGAACACCCAUGGCGAAGGCAGCUCGCUGGCCUAACACUGACGCUGAGGCGCGAAAGCGUGGGGAGCAAACAGGAUUAGAUACCCUGGUAGUCCACGCCGUAAACGAUGAGUGCUAGAUGUAAGGGGUAUCGACCCCCCUUGUGUCGCAGCUAACGCAAUAAGCACUCCGCCUGGGGAGUACGGCCGCAAGGUUG
RNAcentral lists this ribosomal RNA (377 nucleotides) under uncultured bacterium. RNAcentral describes it as "bacterial SSU rRNA". It matches the Rfam family "Bacterial small subunit ribosomal RNA", at positions 521 to 896 of the family's 1533-position model. The record is from RNAcentral.